UACAGAGGGUGCGAGCGUUGUUCGGAAUUAUUGGGCGUAGAGCGCGUGUAGGCGGUCUGUUAUGUCGGGUGUGAAAGCCCUCAGCUUAACUGAGGAAGUGCGCCCGAAACUGGCAGACUUGAGUGCCGGAGAGGAUAGCGGAACACCCGGUGUAGAGGUGAAAUUCGUAGAUAUCGGGUAGAACACCAGUGGCGAAGGCGGCUAUCUGGACGGACACUGACGCUGAGACGCGAAAGCGUGGGGAGCAAACAGG
This 253-nucleotide ribosomal RNA is filed under the name uncultured bacterium. Its description in RNAcentral is "partial 16S ribosomal RNA". It matches the Rfam family "Bacterial small subunit ribosomal RNA", at positions 524 to 776 of the family's 1533-position model. The record is from RNAcentral.